CCUACGGGGGGCAGCAGUGGGGAAUAUUGGGCAAUGGGCGCAAGCCUGACCCAGCAACGCCGCGUGAAGGAAGAAGGCUUUCGGGUUGUAAACUUCUUUUAAGAGGGAAGAGCAGAAGACGGUACCUCUUGAAUAAGCCACGGCUAACUACGUGCCAGCAGCCGCGGUAAUACGUAGGUGGCAAGCGUUGUCCGGAUUUACUGGGUGUAAAGGGCGUGUAGCCGGGCUGACAAGUCAGAUGUGAAAUCCGGGGGCUCAACCCCCGAACUGCAUUUGAAACUGUUGGUCUUGAGUAUCGGAGAGGCAGGCGGAAUUCCUAGUGUAGCGGUGAAAUGCGUAAAUAUAUGUAAGAACACCAGUGGCGAAGGCGGCUUGCUGGGUCGAUACUGACAUUGAGGCACGAAAGCGUGGGGAGCAAACAGGAUUAGAUACCCCUGUAGUC
RNAcentral lists this ribosomal RNA (442 nucleotides) under uncultured bacterium. RNAcentral's name for it is "partial 16S ribosomal RNA". It matches the Rfam family "Bacterial small subunit ribosomal RNA", at positions 338 to 795 of the family's 1533-position model. The record is from RNAcentral.